Long non-coding RNA from Cyprinus carpio carpio, 1519 nucleotides. The record is from Ensembl. NCBI's taxonomy places the organism in Eukaryota, Metazoa, Chordata, Actinopteri, Cypriniformes, Cyprinidae.
AGUUCAUCCCAGCAUCUGAUUUCAUGCAUCCUCCACAUUUUAAUACCCUGAGUUCUCAUAAUUCAUAAGAGGGAGAGAGAGAGAGAGAGAGAGAAUUUUAACAAAACUUUAAUACAAGUAGAAAAUCAUGGUACAAUCAAAACCAUAAUUUACAUGAAGACAAAAGCAAAUCACAUAUAUAUAAAAACGAAUUCAGCUUCAAACAAACAACACAAAGCACCAUUACAGCACCAUUACAGCACCAAAUACUUUCAGAUGUGUCAAGAUCAUCCACAUGCUUAUAAUAAUUAAAAUCAGUCAAUAUCCUUGCUUGUACCAUAUUCAAAAAUAAAACAACUACAUUCUGUUCCAGGUUAUGUUCAACUUUCUUCUUCCUGCUUAUAUAAAGAGCCAGCUUGGCUUGACCUAAUAUAAAAUUCAACAAUUGACAAAAAAAUCUUCUUUUCCUUCCAUAAACCAAAAAUAAACACUUCCAAAGAAAAGGUAUCGCUACAACAUGUGAAAACAUUUCCUAGCAACAAAAACAAAACCUUCAAUCUAGCACAGUUCACAAAAGCAUGAAAAAUGUAGGGGUGCACGAUAAAUAUCGGCCGAUAAUUAAUGCACAUCUCGUCAGUAAAGCCGAUUCUCUAAUCAGUGGUAAAUUCCAUCAGGUGCUUGAUUUCACAUAGAGCAUCUGUUACUACACAGAGCCGUUGUAUAUUUAUCGAGCACCCCUAGAAAAAUGGUUUCCCUCUCCAUUCAGCACCAAUCUCUGGGUUCAAAACUGAAAUGAAAAAAAAUUACUGCAAUAGCACCAUAAAGGAUCCUCCACUGCAAGUCACCUGCUCUUUUGGUCAAUGGUGGUUUAUACAGUGCCCUCCAUUCAGUACACGCUGCCAUGCCAGGGGGGAUGCCAGUGCAAUGAUGGACUGGUGCUGGAUGGAGAUCACUGUGUUCCCCCCACUGGUUGCGGCUGCCACCAUGAUGGGCGUUAUCGGCAGCCUGGAGAGCAGUUCUGGCAUGGUGAAGAGUGUCAAUUCCUGUGUGUCUGUGAUGGAAUCACCGUAAAUGUCCGUUGCACACCAUCAUCAUGCAGUGAACAGGAGAUCUGCCGUGUGAUUUUAAUCAUUGGUAAAUGAAUGUUUCUGUUGAUUUCUGCUGUAAAUACAUUACAUUUCAUUGCAUUAUAUUCCCUGUUCACAGAUAAGUGGGUCCCACAGGAAGUGAAGGCAUCUGAGGCUUCUUGUCUGUGUGCUUCUCUGAUGCUGUUACUUGUUCAUCUGCUGAGUUUCCUGAACCUUUUUUAAUGCAAAGAUAAUGUAAUCUUUUACAUGCAUAAUUUUUAAUGCCAUUUUAAUGAAUAUUUGAGGGUUUCUAAAUUUCUCCUUGUCAUAAAUGUUAUUUUAUGUUCCAUAAUCAGUUUUACAUUAAUUGUUCUAUACUAAAUUAACUGUAAUGUACUUCAGAUUUUGUGCUAGAUUACCAAAGACUAUCAGAUUCUUGUGUUGAAAUAUGUUAUGUUAUGAUCAGGGUUAGA